GACGAACGCUGGCGGCGUGCCUAAUACAUGCAAGUUGAGCGCUGAAGGUUGGUACUUGUACCAACUGGAUGAGCAGCGAACGGGUGAGUAACGCGUGGGGAAUCUGCCUUUGAGCGGGGGACAACAUUUGGAAACGAAUGCUAAUACCGCAUAAAAACUUUAAACACAAGUUUUAAGUUUGAAAGAUGCAAUUGCAUCACUCAAAGAUGAUCCCGCGUUGUAUUAGCUAGUUGGUGAGGUAAAGGCUCACCAAGGCGAUGAUACAUAGCCGACCUGAGAGGGUGAUCGGCCACAUUGGGACUGAGACACGGCCAAAACUCCUACGGGAGGCAGCAGUAGGGAAUCUUGGGCAAUGGACGAAAGUCGGACAGAGCAACGCCGCGUGAGGGAAGAAGGUUUUCGGAUCGUAAAACUCUGUUGGUAGAGAAGAACGUGGGGGGGAGGGGAAAGCUCAUCAAGGGACGGGAACGACCCAGAAAGGGACGGCAAACUACGU
This 496-nucleotide ribosomal RNA is filed under the name uncultured bacterium. RNAcentral describes it as "partial 16S ribosomal RNA". It matches the Rfam family "Bacterial small subunit ribosomal RNA", at positions 28 to 506 of the family's 1533-position model. The record is from RNAcentral.